GGGGGCUUGGGUCCGGACAACGAGGCCUGGCUGCCCGGGCGGGCGGGGCGGGGCGCCUGGGGCUCCGCAGCGACACGGUGGGGGCGCGGGCUCUCUGCCCUGCGGCGGCGCCGGGAAACCCCUUCCUCUGCGGCGGGUCCCUGGGGAUUCUGGGCGAGGCGAAGGCGACGUGGAUUCUCCUCCCCCUCACGCCUGCCUCUCCCACCCUCUUCCCCGAGACCUCGGAGGUGGCCGAAAAGUGGGAAGGGAGGCGAGCACACGGACAGAGAAGAAAGCCAGCAGGAAAGCGUCGCCGAGGGUCUGUCCACGGAUCUUUCGGAUCCAAGUGUUCGGGAUGAGACUGGCCGAUCCGGGAAUCGCAUCCGGCGCCCACACCCCGCAAACUCGUGGGCAGUUGCGGGUGCAAGAGGCCGCGGAGGGGCGACGCGCCCGCGGGAACCCCUCCUUGCGCAUCUCCGGCGCCCCAGCUUCAGCCUAUUCUCGCCCGGACCCUUGGUUUAUUUGGUGAAAUCUGGGAACGUGGAGAGGAUAGAAGAGCAGUUUUUCUUUCUUUCCUUUUUUCUUUUUAACUAAAUGUGCGUGUUAACUCAUCGUUUCUUGGAUAUAAGUGUCCUCAGCGAAUUCUGGAUUCUUGGGGAAAACCUACGAGCACUGAGCAGGACAGGAACACGCCAACUUUGGUUCCAGUGCCAUCUGCAGUAAAUUCCUUUGCUUUGCUCUUCCCUCCUCCGUGUCCUGGAGAUGGAGGCCCCCGGGGGCUGCCCCAGGACACCAGCACACCCAGGACCUGGAGCCGGAGAGUAGAGCUGAGGGCGGGGAGGGCGCGGGGGAGGGGAGGCGGGCUGCAGGCCCCGGGCGUGGAGUUUACCUGCACCGUGGGAACCUCCCUUCCCCCGGGCGCGCAGCCCUGGCUCCGCCCUGCGGGGCCCCGCCCCAGGGAAGCCGGGGCCGCUGUCGGGCCGCCGCAGGGGAAGCUCGCCUGCGCAGGUGUCGCAGGGUCACACCCGCCCCGGGGGUUGCAAACCGCAAGCGAAAGUCGAGAGGGGCUGGAGCUUUUCCUCUAAUCCGUUUUACACUGUGAAAACCGCAAAGCUGUCGCCUAGGCGGCCACUUUUUAAUUGGGAGGCAAACAGACGAAACGCCAAAACAAAUGCGCAAGCUGACUUUCUUUCCGGAUGGUUUUCCUUCUCAACGAAACGCCCGCUCUCUGGUGAAAGGGAGGCCGAUCUGCGCUCACGUUUGCUCGCUUCGGGGCCUGGCCUGGGGCGCACGGGAGCCCGCGCCCCCAGCGCGUGGGGCAGAUCGGACUGCACCCCUCUCCCGGCGCUUUUCCCCCAGCCUCGGUCGUCCCCCGCGUCCCUCCUCGCCAUCCGCUCCAUGCACGCCCCAUCCCGCAAGCUCCACGCAAGCUUUCUCGCUCGCGCUGCAGAGCAGAUGUGGGUGCUUGGGUGUUGGGGGCUCCGAGCGCGUUGAAUUGGCUCCGAUUCAGAUUCCUCCCAGGGCGGGAAGAGUAGGGGUUUGGGCCGCCAAUCCCGGGGCUCGGAGACCUCCAAGCUGACCAGAAGAAGCACUUGCAGUCGCGCUUCAAGUCUCGCAGUUUUCCCUGGGGAAAAGCAGAAGUUGGUGGACACACUGCACGGCGCCAGAGCAAACUCUGAACUUACCGCGCGCCCUGCUGGGGUGCUCAGCCCCUCGGGGGAACCCCAGAGAAGCGAGGAGAGCAGGGAGGUGGGGAGGCCGCCCAGGUCAGGCGGGCCGAGUCCCAGGAUUGUGGGUGUCCCCCUCCCACGUUGAUCUGUUAAGGGUCCUACGUGGAAAAUCAUUUUUAAUCAAACUGUGAUGGUGGAGGUACAAAGAGGGAAGGAAGACAAAAGAAAGGAGACCUUAUUUAAGAAGGAAAACUAGGAAAAAUGGAGUGGUCAAACUGUGGAGAGGGAGGGAAGGAAAGAAGAAUGGAGAAGGCUUUCCUUCUUUGUUCUAUAAAAGCCCUAGCACUUUCUUUGAAAAUCAAAGUACGGAGAGGCUGUCCUUCUUGGAGCAUGGUUAUGUAAGUGAGAGACACUGCGCGUUAGUUCACCUUUAAAGCAUUUGCUGGGUGGAGUAAAGUUUUUAGAAGGUUCUUUCUCGCCCGGCCCCUGUUUGAAGCUCAACUCAUUUUGAUUUAAAGCAGAUUUGAGAUAAAAAUUUCAGAAGAGAAACUGUGUGUAUACAUAUAUGCAGAUGCAGCAGAGUUUGUAUUCCCUUUAGUUUAUUUCUAAGAGGUUCUAUAGUAAAUUGUAUAUGAUGGCUGGUAUAUUUUUUUCUAAUAUUGUAUUGUCACCCGAGAGAAGAGUCCAGAGUUAUCUUUCUCUCCGCUUCCCUUUAAUAAAUCUCCUAAGAGAGAGAACUCUCAUAUGAUCGUGGCUCUUUUCCUCUCUUUCUGGUUUGCUAUCUUUCCCACACAUGAACACACAAACACACAAUAUACAUCACGCGCAGACUUUGCCCUGAUCAGCCUGUAAAGUAUGAUAUAUAAAUUCAUGCCCCUGUUUUCAGUUUCCCCUGAAGUUUAGAACACUGUCGAGGGUCUCCUUUUGUUCCUCCCCAUGUGUGUGCUUCAUCAGGGAUGUCUGGUAAACCAACACAACAGUCAUCUUUGCUUUGAGUUUGUUUGUGAUUAAAUGGAAAAUAACAUUAAUAAACGGUUUAAAUGGUAUUUUUUUAUAGCAAAGUAUUAACAAGUAAUAAAAUGAACAGUAGUUGUUCCAAAUCUUCAGACUGAUGGCUUCCCAUUGGCAGUCAUAUUUUGGCAAAAGUAUUUCAUAUUAAUUGAAAAUGACUAAAACAGUGCAUGCAUUCCGUUAAGAGAGGCUAACUCACUGAGCUUUACCUCCAGCAGCUUAAACUAUCCAGUUCAAAUUACUUAAGUAAUUCCUACUGAAGGAGGGGUUGGGAAAUCAGGAACUGUGGAAUAAUUUGUGCUUUUGGUCUUUUCAUGAAGCUUUAAUUAAAUCUGAUUUCUGUGAAAACUAAAACUAAAACAAUACGAUAACCCCUUAAGUGGCCUUGUAGAAUAAUAUGCGAUUCUUAUAAAAAAAUGUGUGCCCACUAUAUUUGGUGAAACUAGAUGAAUACAAAUAUAACUAUUAAGUUGUUUUUCCAGUGAUUUUUCUCUCUCAAAUGUUAGACAUGUAGGACUCCAGAACAUGCACUUUAAUGUGUUCUGAUAAUAAGAAAACCGUUGCUGGUUUUCUCAGAGGAGCACAGCUAUCUAGGGGCCAUGCCACAAUCAUUAGAUCAACACCGUCUUUCCUGUCACAUCAUCGUCUACAUGAAAUUCCAUUUUAGGAAAUAUGCAAGAAUAUUACAUUUGUUUCAGAAGCUUGAAAAUACAAUAGAAUUUGAAGUAUUGAAAAAUGUGAUUCUUAGUUGACGGUAUCUUAGAAGUUGCAGGGGUAUCUCUUUUUGAGAUGACUUUAAUAAUGACACUUUAAUAAUGUUGCAAAGUAAGGAAAGAUUUCAAUAGCAGGCAAGAUGUGAUGAAUGGACACAAGGAACAAUGAAGCUAUUGACAAAACAUGCCAACUUUUAGAAUUCUAUCUAAAUUAUUAUUUUUCCUUACAGUGCAGAGAAAGACACCCAAGUACAUCAAUGUUCAUCAGAUGCAGGGUGAUAGAAAUAUUUGACUUUCGUCAAUUGUUCCUGCCAGCUAUUUCGAUGAAAUAAAUGGAAUGUCGCUUAACAGGCAGAUGCUUUGAUACAUUUUCUUCUUAAAGGAUCUGAUUCCUGGCGUCCAAAGGAAACUGGAAUUUAAGAAAAUAACAGAAUGCGGAAUCUCAACAGUUGUUUUAAUGGCGGCUAGUUCGUCCCGUUCCAGAAGGCACAAUCCUUCGCCAUGGGACUUUGCUGCUCCCAUCCAGACGUGGAAUCUCUUCUCCACCCCCUGUAAUGCGGGCUGGCCUUUGUGACUGACUUUGACAAAUUUGAUAUAGUGGAACUGAUGUUUUCUAGUUCUGGAAUUGAGGCCUCAAGAAGCUUUGUGGCUGCCACCUUUGUCCUCUUGGAACGCCAUGCCACGCAGAAGCCCGGGAUGAAAGGUCAGGAGGAAGACGGAGGGACGCAGCUGUCUCUGCUGUUCGCUGAGUCCAGCUCCCCGCACCCCACUGAAUGCUGUCACACACAUGAGCCCAGGCAAAGUUGGCACAAAAAGCACACAGCCAACAGAGUCAUGAAAAAUAAAAAAAAAUCCUUGCUGUUUUAAGCCAGUAAGCUUUGAGGUGGUUUGUUAUAUAGCAAUAGUAACCAUACUUGUCUUGUUAUCUGCAAUUAUUUCAAUUGUAUAAAAUUGAGAGAGAAUUUGUUGAUAUGUCAGGUGUCUAAAUUGUGAUCAAAUCAAAGAGCUCUCAGUUUUUUGGUUUUUUUUUUUUUUUUUUUGAGUAAGAUUAGCCCUGAGCUAACAUCUGCUGCCAAUCCUCCCCUUUUUGCCGAGGAAGACUGGCCCUGAGCUAAAAUCUGUGCCCAUCUUCCUCUACUUUAUAUGUGGGAUGCCUACCACAGCAUGGCUUGCCAAGUGGUGCCGUGUGUGCACCUGGGAUCCGAACCGGCGAACCCCAGACCGCCAAAGCAAAUGUCGGAACUUAACCGCUGCGCCACUGGACCGCCCCGAGCUCUCACUAUUUUAAGAGCCUGAGUUAGCAUAUGUGAAGCCACCACGGGGGCCCAAGGUUACUAUGUGUGAUUGUUAUCAUGAUGUUGAUCCCUGAGGUUGGUGAGAUUUAAGAAAGUCACAUUAUUUUAUAUCAUCCCUACGGCAAUGCAGUGAAGCAGGCAGGGUGGUUAUUAUGUUCAUUUUGAAGAUGGAGAAACAGGUUCAGGACAGCCACAGAAGUGUUGAGACCAACAGGCUUGAGAAUGCAUAUCCCUGAGGAGAUGUCAAUGAACCUCAUUUUUCUCACUUGGAAGAUGAAGGGAUUGUAUCAGAGGAUUCCUGAAGUCCCGUUAGCCACGCCAGACGUCUCAGC
This 5000-nucleotide long non-coding RNA is filed under the name Equus caballus (horse). RNAcentral's name for it is "lncRNA (ENSECAG00000032246.2)". The record is from RNAcentral. Lineage: Eukaryota; Metazoa; Chordata; Mammalia; Perissodactyla; Equidae.